AAGAAGGAAUGGAGGUAUGUUAGAUAGUCACUUUUGUUAUUUACACAAGUAAUAUUUUUCCUGCAUUUUACUUGUUUAUUCAAGUAUGCUCUUUGCAAUAAAGUCCUGACUGCUAAUCUCUAUUUGCUGACUGACAUUUUUGUUUGUUUGUUUCCACUACGGUGAUAUUUGAGGAGGUAGCUUCAGAUGCUGCAGCAUGACCCUGGGUUGUGUUAACAGUGACCGCAAAUGUCUUGAGCAUUUCCUCCAAAUGUUCCAAAUCCUCCCUGCUUCCCCACUCCCGAAAAGGUCAGUCAGUCAGAAAUGUUGACUGUUGUUAUUAUUUUUAAACUGACAGUGCAGCUAGAUUAAGCCAUUUGUGCUGAAUCACAUCUUCCACGCUGGUGUUUUGCACAGUUUAUUUUUCCCAACUGAAGAAUCGCACAGACUCUUCUACCCCAAGUAAACUGUUGGAGGGGAAGGGGAAGAUGCCGUGAGGAAAUAUGUUGUCUAUUCUCCUGUGAUAGUUCAUCCGAACUGUAUGUCCUUGAUUCGCCACUAGAGGUCACUGGCCCAUCGCAGUCUUGCUUCACCUAGAUCCACCUCCAUUUCUUCUUACACAAAUUAGCACUGCGUUAAUUAACACUGUAGUCCAUCAACGGGCGUUUCUCUGUACAGUACAGGAGCAGAGCUUAAAUAGAAAAAUCAAACCAAAUAUAAAAAGCACCUACCAAAACUCUUCAUCAUGUACAAAUUGGGAACCGCACGUCUGAGUGACCGGGGGCAAGAGUAGAAGAUGGCUUGUGACUAAUGUUGUAGAGAAGAAUGACUGAAAUAACUGUUUGGAAUUAUUCUGGAAUUAGGUUAGAAUGAAGUCUCCUCUGCCAAUCUAAGGGCCUCUUUCCACAAACACACAUGAGAGAAACUUUAUUUAUAUGAACAGUUCACUUGAGAUCAACUGGGACUAGUCAUGAAAAAUGAAGUUUAGAACUGAUUCUUGACACGUGAUGCACAUUUGUCAGGAGGUCAAGGUGAAUCAGAAUAAACAACUUCAAGAAAAUGCCAAAUUCAAGAAAAUAAAAGUAGCUUAAUAUGAUUUAAUAUCAAUAAAGUGGUUAAGAUGAAGUUUCUUAAACUCCUUUUUGGAGGCUGGUUAACAAUGACAUGGAUUUUUGAGGAACAAUUCCAGAGAUUUGCCUGAAUGAAAUAUGCUGAAACCAAAAAGAAAAGCUUGGUCUUUAUUAUCUAUAUGUUACAGAUUAGCUUGAAGGAAAUAAUUAUUACCAAUCUGUACCAUAACAGCUAUACUUAAAUGCAAUGUAACAUUUAAGGUCUGUGGAGCAGAGGAUGUCUUUUUGUUCUGGGCCUGUACAGCAUGCAGCACAAUGAGGUUCUAAUCCAUGAUUGGGGAUUCUAGAUGCUCACAUAAAAUAAACAAUAAUAUAUUAAUAAUAAUAUUUAUUUUAUUCGGGUUAUUGAUUUAAUUUUAUUUUUGAUAAUUUAUCAUUAUCUCUUGGAGCUAAACUGUCAAAGGCUCAUUUAUCAGGUGUGCCACUCCCAAUGCAUAUGUAGUCCUAAGGCCUGAUUUUCAACUUGUAGAAAUAUAAGGCCCCAGUCUGGUAGUCAGAUCUGUGGGAACAGUACCUGGGGACUGUGCAGAGCCCACUGACUUCAGCACAGGUCCAGGCAGGCAUAAUUGUCAACCCACACAGAGCUGGUUGCAGGAAAGCAGCCUUGAAACAGAAGUGACUCUGCCGAAGUCAGAUGGAGUCAGACCUAGGUAAAACAGUGAUGUAAGCAAAAGGAGAAUAGGACCUAUAACACACACUCAUGUGCACAUUCAAAGAAAUAAAACACCUGCAUGUGUAACCCCCACACCUUCUGGGUGUGGUGUUCUAGCCAAUCUAGUGGC
Long non-coding RNA from Chelonoidis abingdonii (Abingdon island giant tortoise), 1891 nucleotides. RefSeq lists it as uncharacterized. The record is from RefSeq and is a predicted model, not a curated record. Lineage: Eukaryota; Metazoa; Chordata; Testudines; Testudinidae.